UAUGUAACUUUGCUGUUGUACCAACAAUUAACUUGAACUUGCCAACUAUCUAAACUUAUGAUAUCAAAUAAGGUCGCCUCAUGCUUCAGUGCUCCACAACAUGCACCUGGUAUGUGAAUCCUAAUCUGCCAGAGGCGUCGCUCCUGCAACAGAGUUUUGGAAGUGCUGCUGGUCAGGCAUACUGGAUAGGUGAGGAAUAUGACAAUCGUCCACAGACUACAACUGUUGCCGAACUUUCAGCCAUCGACAAUCCACACGAGGCAGAGGCAUGUUUCCCACGCAAAAGAAUUAAGUUCAUUUUUCUUAUUGCAGUACACCGACUGAUUGCCACUUCCUUCUAAACAGGGUAACAAGUACAGAGUGACAGCAAGGAUAAAGGAAUUGGUCCCAAACGAACAGCGGUGGUAUUUGGCGUGCAGCAAAUGCAAUAGGACCACAAGGGCCUAUGGAGAUAUCUACAAAUGCUACGACCCUACGUGCACUGGCACAGGCGCCAUUCCAAGGUACAAAAUUCCUUUCCUUGCAAUUGAUCCAGAGGCUGGCUCAAGCACCGAAGACAAGCCAAUAGAAACUAUCUGCUUCGGAGUAGUUGCGGAUGAAAUGGUCGGAUUACCAGCUGACAACCUUAUUAGUCUUACCUCAAAUGGUCAGGGAUAUAUUCCUGAACAGAUCAAAAGAAUGUACGAUGCCAAGUAUGACUUAAGCCUGAGUGUGCCGAGAGGUGCUGUGCGAUUUGGAAGAACAACUUUCAGAAUUGAUGCUUUUAUGAGAAUUGAUGAGGUUGAUGAACAAGUGAUUCCUGAAGUGCCGCCGGCGGUCACCAGAGUGCCUGCUUCUGGAGCAGACAACCAACCUUCUGUUUCACUACACACCAGCCAAGGUGACACAACAAAGAAAGAUGCCUGUACACUUGCUAAGGUACGACACGGGCUCAAUUCAGCACAGCUAUGAUAUGCCUGCUGUCUUUGUAAACUCAUAAUGGAUUAAUGGCCUAUAUAGGAUGCCCUGGACAGUGCUGGAAUGCUGCCGCCUAACAUGCCCGCGGCACCCAAGGUCCACCGUCCUUCCAGACUCCCGCUCCUAUGGUUUUCAUGGUCAGUGAGCUCACCUCCAGUUGCUAAAUUCAUAACCAAUGCAGGAAAAGCAUGUCAUUGCUCAGACCAGUACAGGAGGGGGCCUUGAGGAUAGUGAUUGUGAGAGCAGGUGACUUCUUUCCCAUCUCAUUUGUAGAAUACUUACCAUCUGAGAAAAGCUCUUAAUUGAUUUGUGCUUUUGUUUUUCAGCAUGCCUUCGGACAAGAAGCCACGUGCAGCUAGGAAACUAUCCAUGACCUUCAAUGAAGACGAUGAGUAGUCAAGCUACCGUGCUAAUGUAGAGCAAUGCUACAGCUGAGAGUAGUGUGUAACCCAUGAACUAAAUUGUAUGUGAACCUUGUGAGCCAAACUCAGAUGGCCAGCAACUCAACCUAUCUGAUAUGCUGCCGUAGUGCCUCUUUUGCGCUCAACUAUCUGUAGCAUUAUAUGCCAGGACUGCAGUGUUUGUAAUAUGGAUUUAGAAUUUGA
Long non-coding RNA from Panicum virgatum (switchgrass), 1562 nucleotides. RefSeq lists it as uncharacterized. Lineage: Eukaryota; Viridiplantae; Streptophyta; Magnoliopsida; Poales; Poaceae. The transcript is spliced from 4 exons. The record is from RefSeq and is a predicted model, not a curated record.